AUGUGUCCUCAGCAACUGUCUUCUCGCCUCCCCCAGGGAAUUAAGCAGCCCAGCGCCUCCAGCCUCGGAAGCUUCCAAGAAGAACCUCACACUGGCGCCCUGUGGCACGUAUGUGUGCGGGUGGGAGCCCCGCGCGCCAGGGAGUCUGCGGAGCGCCCAGGCCUGUGCCGUCGCUGCCUCGUGCUUCUGCGGUUCUGCUCUGCUGGCUCAUCCACAUGUCUGGGCUGCACCGAUCUCACCUGCACUUCUGAGUCUGGAGACACAUGCCAGGAUGCCCACGUGGACACACGCAUGGCCCUGAAGAUGCUGCAGGAGCCCCGAGUGCCACGAAGAAAGGCAAACGGAGAGGGGAGCCAGCACCUAGUCCCCCCAGGGCACCCAGGAUGCCCGCCUGCCCGCCCAUCGGCCUGCUGCCAGCAAGCCCACCUUUCAACAUACCCCUCUGCACUAGGGCACCAUCUCCAGACGGCCCUUGGGGAGGCAAAUGUUCUUCUGGGGAAAAGAAGGCCUCCCCAUCCCGGCCGGUUAUUCCCUUCACAAGCAAGCUUGUGACAAACGUGUCUUUUUGAACAAUACUUCUGCAAAAUGAGCACUAGGCUGGGAGUCAAGUGGGCUGGAUGGUAAUCCCAGCGCGGCCGUCUCAGAGAACGGUCGCCGGUGAGACCCAGGACUCUCCGCUAGUACACAGAGAUGUGUACCUGCUGUUUUCACCAUGUGUGUCCGUGCAUAUAUUCCCACAUCUGCGUGUGUGUGUGUGUGUGUUUGACUAGCACACUGGACCCCUGGCUUCACAAAUAUUGCUUAAGACAAGGCUAAAAUAUACAUUUAAAUUUUUUUAAUGAUUUUACUUAUUUAUUCAUGGGAGACACAGAGAGAGGCAGAGACACAGGCAGAGGGAGAAGCAGGCUCCAUGCAGGGAGCCCAAAGCAGGACUCGAUCCCGGGACCCGGGGAUCACGCCCUGGGCUGACGGCAAGCAGGCGCCCAACUGCUGAGCCACCCAGGCGUCCCUCACACAUUUGAAUUUUAAAGUGAGCCAGUUUCAAGAAAAACAUUAAGUAAGUGAGAGUAAAGACUGGCACCUGAGUGUGAUAAGAGUCCUAGGAAGCUGCCAAAUGACUGCUGCCCUGGGUCAGAGGUUCUCUGAGACCCUUCCAUCUCCCUCAGGCAGUGGGUUCAAGGCCCCAGGCCUCUCAGAACAAGAAAUACACAGAGUGACCCCUGGUUCCCACUAUUGUCCUCGUCAUCACCGCGACAGACUGUCCCAUGGAGUGGCAGGAGAAGUUGCCAAGGGGGAAGUUGGAUGCUCCCUCCUGGCCACAGGCCCCCAAAGACCUCAAAGGACACAAUGUCCACAGCUGUGUCCCCUCGGGUGAUUCAGGCCAGAUCAGGCUAGGGCACGGGGGUGCCCCAGAUUGAAGGUGGACGUAGCCAGGGUCCAAGCAGAGAUGGCUCGGGAGGGGCCCGAGAUGUCCCAGGGGGCCCAGCAGCCACAUUCUGUGGGACCAGGGGAGGGCUCUCUGCACCCGCCAGGCCGGUGAUUCAGGGAUCCC
Vulpes vulpes (red fox) is the source of this 1552-nucleotide long non-coding RNA. The record is from Ensembl. NCBI's taxonomy places the organism in Eukaryota, Metazoa, Chordata, Mammalia, Carnivora, Canidae.